Molecule: long non-coding RNA, 2012 nt
Filed under: Rattus norvegicus (Norway rat)
Lineage: Eukaryota; Metazoa; Chordata; Mammalia; Rodentia; Muridae
Description: long non-coding RNA NONRATT003095
Source: RNAcentral
AUGUAUGCCAAUAUUCUCAUAUAAGAUGGCUCUACCAAACAGUAAAAAGUUGUUUAGCCAGUGCCCAAAGGAAACGUUUUGAGGAAGAUGACUCAGUCCUUUUGCAGGCAGACAUUUCAGUAACUCCCACUGCUCAGCUCAGAGCCUUCCUGGAAUGCUUGUCGUGGGCUGGAAGAAUUAUGUGUUCGGCAAAAUGAAGUUUGAGUGGAAAGAGGACAGUUUGAGUGGAUGCAAAUAUUCUGUGAGGAUUUAGGGAAGGAGGCUGAAGAUGGAUGUGAAAGGAAGAGAUGGGCGGGGGAGACAAGUGAGGACACCUCAUGGGUGGGAGAGGGUUUUAGGUGAGGAAAUGGGUUUUUAGGUAUGUGCUAUUUCUGGUCAGGAGUCACAAACUCUGUAGCCUAAAGGCAGGGAGAUAAAUAAGAGGGGGGAGGGUGUGGCUGGGGACUGUGCCUACCUCAAGGGAGGCAGCUCACCUCAGCUCCAGGCUGGAAAAGAAAGGGUGGGGCUAAGAAUCAGGAUUUCCAAUGAAAAUACUGAAGCUCACUGGUUUUUAAUUUAAGAAGUAAUUUAAAAUGUCUGAAACCAAGUGAGGCAGAUACGAUAUUUGGUAGGAUGAGGACACCAGUUUGUGACCCCUUGCCUUACACAGUUAGCCUUCCCCCAGGUAUAUAUAGGCUUAUAUUCUUUGCCAUGGAGACGAUGAUUAUUUAUAUAUAAGUGGGGGUGUGUUAGUUCAUUUCUACUUUAUCUCUCAGAGUUAAGCUUUGUGAUAGGAAUUACAGCAGAAAAAAAUUAACACAGCCACAGAUAACAUUUAUCCCCAGUUCCUGGUAGGGCUCCCAUGCAAGCCUGGCUCUCCAGUUAAAAUCCCAGCUAUAGCACUGGGGGCAAUUUUUUUUUUUCCUGGUGAUUUGAGGUCGACUUCUCAGCCUGGCUGGAGCUUGCAGAUGAGUAAUGAAGAAGAAUUGCAGAAUAACUUUUCUUUGUUGCCCAUGGUAACCUGGCCUGGGCCUUCCCAAUGUUGGUUGGAGACAUUAAACACCAGCAAAACCAAACCAGUAUCCACAGCCAGUAUCCUUUGACCAAAUUGCAUGGAUUUGUAUGAUUCCCACCUCCAAGAGCACUGGCAGGCUUUCUAGUCCUCUCUGACUCAGUGUCUCCCAGCAAAAUGAGCACCAGGUGAGUCUCCUCCCAAAGCACCUUUUGUCACCUCCCAGAAGAAGCCACGUUUUUUUGUUUUUUUGUUUUGUUUUUUUUUUCUUCCCCCACAGAAUUGUGCUUCCCGGCUUUGGCCUUGACAAAGAGGUUUUUUUCCCCCAUGUCUACAUACAUAAAGGAAAAUUUUCUCCUGUGGUGGAAAAAUGAACCUCACCUAAAUCUCUGACAUCCCCAAGAGGAAAACUGGCUCAGUGUUACCCCUGUGGUACGUGUUAGUUUUUUCCCCUUUCUUUAAUUGCUUGUCUGUAACUUAGACAUAUCUAUUUAUUUUUUUAUGGCACACGGUGGGGUGGGAGUAAUGCUGGUGUAUAAGUCAAGAGAGAUCUGGUAAAUUCCAGAUCAUGUACACAGAAAAAAAAAAUAAGCCGAGAUCUGCAGCUAACUGCUAUGUAAUCUGGUUCUGGAAGUAUUAGAUAGGCAGGGAUAUUUUAGCACCUUUUGGGGGUGGGGAGGAUGCCUUGGCUCAGUCGCUUGACUUGAAGCAUUCCAGCUCUGGCUGUUUUUGACGUGCCUUCUGACCCCAAACUGCAUAUUGGGAUACAGUUUGGGGUCACAGUUACAGCCUAAGUUAAUUCCAAUAAAAGAGACCAAAGAGUUAAUCAGACCUGGUUGGCUGCGUAAGACUGUGUGAUUAAGGAUGUCUUCAUCACGCUGUUUCUGUGGCCCCAGUGGGCAAGGCCUGUCACUCAUCUUCAUUCGAAGUGGAGUGUAUUUGCACUUUCAAUCCUGUGGGUCACUUAGGGACCUGUUCUUUCCAAUUUUGCUAUAUCAAUAAAGGAACUUCUGGAAACUUC